ACAUCCAGAGAACUUAGCAGAGAUGCUUUGGUGCCUUCGGGAACUCUGAGACAGGUGCUGCAUGGCUGUCGUCAGCUCGUGUUGUGAAAUGUUGGGUUAAGUCCCGNAACGAGCGCAACCCUUAUCCUUUGUUGCCAGCGAUUCGGUCGGGAACUCAAAGGAGACUGCCGGUGAUAAACCGGAGGAAGGUGGGGAUGACGUCAAGUCAUCAUGGCCCUUACGGCCAGGGCUACACACGUGCUACAAUGGCGCAUACAAAGAGAAGCGACCUCGCGAGAGCAAGCGGACCUCAUAAAGUGCGUCGUAGUCCGGAUUGGAGUCUGCAACUCGACUCCAUGAAGUCGGAAUCGCUAGUAAUCGUAGAUCAGAAUGCUACGGUGAAUACGUUCCCGGGCCUUGUACACACCGCCCGUCACACCAUGGGAGUGGGUUGCAAAAGAAGUAGGUAGCUUAACCUUCGGGAGGGCGCUUACCACUUUGUGGUUCAUGACUGGGGUGAAGUCGUAACAAGGUAAGCGUAGUGCU
This 525-nucleotide ribosomal RNA is filed under the name uncultured bacterium. RNAcentral describes it as "bacterial SSU rRNA". It matches the Rfam family "Bacterial small subunit ribosomal RNA", at positions 984 to 1509 of the family's 1533-position model. The record is from RNAcentral.